AUUUCUCUGAGAUGUUCGCCAGCGGGCCCGUCCCCUGAGCCGAUAAUUAGUACCAACAGAAUGUGAUGAUCCGUAAUCGGUGCGCAUGCUCGGCCCGUCCGAGAAGCCUAAAGAUUGCGACAGCACGUUCACCUUGAACCAUGGGUUCAAGGGUUACAGCCUGCGACGGCAUCUCGGAGAUUCC
Rahnella aquatilis is the source of this 184-nucleotide non-coding RNA. It matches the Rfam family "6S / SsrS RNA". Rfam says of the family: E. coli 6S RNA was the first non coding RNA to be sequenced, but its function was unknown until recently. It consists of 184 nucleotides that fold into an extended hairpin structure with a large single-stranded internal bulge. The 6S RNA specifically associates with RNA polymerase holoenzyme containing the sigma70 specificity factor. NCBI's taxonomy places the organism in Bacteria, Pseudomonadati, Pseudomonadota, Gammaproteobacteria, Enterobacterales, Yersiniaceae. The record is from Rfam.